RNAcentral lists this ribosomal RNA (539 nucleotides) under Entyloma lagoeciae. RNAcentral's name for it is "partial large subunit ribosomal RNA". It matches the Rfam family "Eukaryotic large subunit ribosomal RNA", at positions 75 to 616 of the family's 3401-position model. The record is from RNAcentral. Lineage: Eukaryota; Fungi; Basidiomycota; Exobasidiomycetes; Entylomatales; Entylomataceae.
UUCCCCUAGUAACGGCGAGUGAAGCGGGAAGAGCUCAAAUUUGAAAGCUGUUGCCUUUGGUAACCGCAUUGUAAUCUCGAGAUCUGUUUUCCGCGCUGGACCAUGUACAAGUCCCUUGGAAUAGGGCGUCAUAGAGGGUGAGAAUCCCGUACUUGACAUGGCCUCCCAGUGCUUUGUGAUACAGGCUCAACGAGUCGAGUUGUUUGGGAAUGCAGCUCAAAAUGGGUGGUAAAUUCCAUCUAAAGCUAAAUAUUGGGGAGAGACCGAUAGCGAACAAGUACCGUGAGGGAAAGAUGAAAAGCACUUUGGAAAGAGAGUUAAACAGUACGUGAAAUUGUCAAAAGGGAACCGUUUAAAGUUAGUCAUGCUUGCCUGGACUCAGCCUUGCUUUUGCUUGGUGCAUUUCCAGGUUAGCAGGUCAGCAUCGGUUUUGACUGCUGGAUAAGGGUGAGAGGAAUGUGGCACCCUCGGGUGUGUUAUAGCCUUUCACUGGAUGCAGCAGUUGGGACCGAGGAAGCGCAGCGCGCCUCUAUGGCGGA